This 476-nucleotide ribosomal RNA is filed under the name uncultured bacterium. RNAcentral's name for it is "partial 16S ribosomal RNA". It matches the Rfam family "Bacterial small subunit ribosomal RNA", at positions 28 to 523 of the family's 1533-position model. The record is from RNAcentral.
GAUGAACGCUGGCGGCGUGCUUAACACAUGCAAGUCGAGCGAGAUUAUUCUUCGGAAUAGUCUAGCGGCGGACGGGUGAGUAACACGUGGGCAACCUGCCUUGUAGAGGGGGAUAGCCUUCCGAAAGGAAGAUUAAUACCGCAUAAAGUUAUUGAAAGGCAUCUUUCGAUAAUCAAAGGAGCAAUCCGCUACAAGAUGAGCCCGCGGCGCAUUAGCUAGUUGGUGAGGUAACGGCUCACCAAGGCGACGAUGCGUAGCCGACCUGAGAGGGUGAUCGGCCACAUUGGGACUGAGACACGGCCCAGACUCCUACGGGAGGCAGCAGUGGGUAAUAUUGCACAAUGGGGGAAACCCUGAUGCAGCAACGCCGCGUGAGUGAUGACGGCCUUCGGGCUGUAAAGCUCUGUCUUUGGGGACGAUAAUGACGGUACCCAAGGAGGAAGUCACGGCUAACUACGUGCCAGCAGCCGCGGUAA